AGAGUUUGAUCCUGGCUCAGGACAAACGCUGGCGGCGUGCCUAACACAUGCAAGUCGAACGGGGUAUGGUUCUUCGGGACCAUACCGAGUGGCGGACGGGUGAGUGACCCGUGGAUGACGUACCCUGGUGUGGGGGAUACCCUGCAGAAAUGCAGGCUAAUACCGCAUACGGUCUGUGCGAUCAAGCGCGCAGAAGAAAG
RNAcentral lists this ribosomal RNA (200 nucleotides) under uncultured bacterium. RNAcentral's name for it is "partial 16S ribosomal RNA". It matches the Rfam family "Bacterial small subunit ribosomal RNA", at positions 8 to 206 of the family's 1533-position model. The record is from RNAcentral.